GGCCUUUCGGGGUACACGAGCGGCGAACGGGUGAGUAACACGUGGGUGAUCUGCCCUGCACUUCGGGAUAAGCCUGGGAAACUGGGUCUAAUACCGGAUAUGACCUCCUAUCGCAUGGUGGGUGGUGGAAAGAUUUAUCGGUGCAGGAUGGGCCCGCGGCCUAUCAGCUUGUUGGUGGGGUAAUGGCCUACCAAGGCGACGACGGGUAGCCGACCUGAGAGGGUGACCGGCCACACUGGGACUGAGACACGGCCCAGACUCCUACGGGAGGCAGCAGUGGGGAAUAUUGCACAAUGGGCGAAAGCCUGAUGCAGCGACGCCGCGUGAGGGAUGACGGCCUUCGGGUUGUAAACCUCUUUCAGCAGGGACGAAGCGCAAGUGACGGUACCUGCAGAAGAAGCACCGGCUAACUACGUGCCAGCAGCCGCGGUAAUACGUAGGGUGCAAGCGUUGUCCGGAAUUACUGGGCGUAAAGAGUUCGUAGGCGGUUUGUCGCGUCGUUUGUGAAAACCAGCAGCUCAACUGCUGGCUUGCAGGCGAUACGGGCAGACUUGAGUACUGCAGGGGAGACUGGAAUUCCUGGUGUAGCGGUGAAAUGCGCAGAUAUCAGG
This 611-nucleotide ribosomal RNA is filed under the name Rhodococcus qingshengii. Its description in RNAcentral is "bacterial SSU rRNA". It matches the Rfam family "Bacterial small subunit ribosomal RNA", at positions 74 to 701 of the family's 1533-position model. The record is from RNAcentral. Lineage: Bacteria; Bacillati; Actinomycetota; Actinomycetes; Mycobacteriales; Nocardiaceae.